CCAAACCCAAUGUGAACCAUACCAAACUGUUGCCUCGGCGGGGUCACGCCCCGGGUGCGUCGCAGCCCCGGAACCAGGCGCCCGCCGGAGGGACCAACCAAACUCUUUCUGUAGUCCCCUCGCGGACGUUAUUUCUUACAGCUCUGAGCAAAAAUUCAAAAUGAAUCAAAACUUUCAACAACGGAUCUCUUGGUUCUGGCAUCGAUGAAGAACGCAGCGAAAUGCGAUAAGUAAUGUGAAUUGCAGAAUUCAGUGAAUCAUCGAAUCUUUGAACGCACAUUGCGCCCGCCAGUAUUCUGGCGGGCAUGCCUGUCCGAGCGUCAUUUCAACCCUCGAACCCCUCCGGGGGUCCGGCGUUGGGGAUCGGGAACCCCUAAGACGGGAUCCCGGCCCCGAAAUACAGUGGCGGUCUCGCCGCAGCCUCUCAUGCGCAGUAGUUUGCACAACUCGCACCGGGAGCGCGGCGCGUCCACGUCCGUAAAACACCCAACUUCUGAAAUGUUGACCUCGGAUCAGGUAGGAAUACCCGCUGAACUUAAGCAUAUCAAUAAGCGGAGGAA
Molecule: ribosomal RNA, 560 nt
Filed under: Trichoderma paraviridescens
Lineage: Eukaryota; Fungi; Ascomycota; Sordariomycetes; Hypocreales; Hypocreaceae
Description: eukaryotic LSU rRNA
Rfam family: 5.8S ribosomal RNA (bases 170-323)
Source: RNAcentral